GGCUUGCAGUAGCAUUCGCGCCGAACUCCAUGUGGCUUGAUGUUGGAAGAUUAUCCACAGGGUUUGCAGUUGGUUUGUUAAGCUACGUGAUACCUGUUUAUAUCGCAGAAAUAACACCAAAACAUGUCCGAGGAGCGUUUGUAUUUGCUAAUCAGCUGAUGCAGAGUUGUGGGUUGUCUUUAUACUAC
Camelina sativa (false flax) is the source of this 188-nucleotide non-coding RNA. Lineage: Eukaryota; Viridiplantae; Streptophyta; Magnoliopsida; Brassicales; Brassicaceae. The record is from RefSeq and is a predicted model, not a curated record.